Hippocampus zosterae (dwarf seahorse) is the source of this 2118-nucleotide long non-coding RNA. RefSeq lists it as uncharacterized. The record is from RefSeq and is a predicted model, not a curated record. The transcript has 3 exons. Lineage: Eukaryota; Metazoa; Chordata; Actinopteri; Syngnathiformes; Syngnathidae.
UAAACACUUUAAAAGCGAGGACAGGCAGUGCAGAGGUGGAAUGUAGCCUUGAAAUGAUGCUUCUCCUGGAGCAGGGGUCCCCAACCGCCGGGCCGCCGACCGAUACCGGACCGCGGGUCAUUUGGUGCCGGCCGCACAGAAAGAAUAAACUUACAUUCCUUCAGUUUUAGUCAAUCCGGAAUCUGAAAGACGUUUUAUUUUGAAAAAUUACUGGAUUCUCUAUUACAUCAGUCUACAGUAUGCGACUCUUGAUGCAGGAAGGGGAAAAGGCCCAGCCAUGAAACAGAAGAGGAGCCAACGACUUCCAAGAAAGAGAAUGCUACAUUUAAUAGACAGUAUCAGGAAUCCUAUUUUAAAUACGGCUUUAUCUCAACGGGAGAUUCACACGCACUAAGCCAACUCUGCAUAAUAAGCAGAAAUGAAUGACCCAACCAACUACUGGACCCCGCAGGAACCAAGGACUGGUCCCAGUUCCACCCUGUGCCUGGCGGAGCACAUCUGCGGCCAAUACCCUUUUCCCCUUCAGGCAGCGCAGGAGCCCUGUCACGCCGAGCCCCGUCCGCAUCCACAUUGCCAUGUCAAGUGCCUGUUCGAAUUAAGUCACAUCCACGUCCACGUUGAGCCGAGCUACGUCCACAUCAGACCGAGCCCCAUUCAUGUCUGGCUGUCCCAUGUUCCCCAUCACGUUGAGCUCCGUACACGUCAGGACGAGCCGAGCCAUAGGGCUGCCGUCUCCCUCUGUUCUUGUUCUCCAGCAAGGCAAGGGUUGCCGUCACCCUCGUUCCUGUUCCCGGUGAGGCAAGGGUUGCCGUCGCCCUUCAUUCCUGUUCCCGGUGAGGCAUGGGUUGCCGUCGCCCCCCGUUCCUGUUCCCCAGCGAAGCAAACCUAUUUGUGACCAACAGGUGGCACUGUAAGGCUCAGCCUGCAGCUGCACACCUAUUAGUGUCUGUUAAAAGGACUCCCGACACGACCACUAGGUUUCGGGUCAUUGUUUGUUCUGUCAUGGUUUCUGUUACUGUUAGUUUUUUGCCUCAGCCAUGGUUUUUGUUUAAUACGUUGAACUCUCUCUGUGUUCAGUACUUGAGUUUGUUUUGGAUUUAGUUCUCUCAGCGUUUUGUUAAUACAGUUUGUCUAGUUCACCCUGCUCCUCCCUGCCUGCCUGCUUUUUGGGCUCCUCCAGCACCAUUUGUGACAAUUUGCUGCGUAUCUUAUUUUGAAGGCGCAUUUAAAGGUUACCAGAGCGACCAGAGAAUGUUGCGGCUACAUAGGACAUUCCUCGUGUUUAUUAUGUUUCAAAAAUACCACACUUUUCAUGCAGGUCAUAUUAUAUUGUUGUAUCUAUCCGGCCUUAAAAGGCCGGUCCCUGAAAAUAUUGUCGGACAUGAAAACAGCAAAAAAGGUUAGGGACCUGUGUCCUGCAGGAUACUAUGAAACUUCACAAGGGAGCUAUUAUAAAUUCCCCAAGCAAUGGUAACCUUUUGGUUGAUGAGAAAACAUUUCAGCCAUUGUGGUCAAGGUUUGUGUCACGUUGUGCCCGAAGCGACAGAGUAAUCGUUUCGUGCGCAAAAAACUGGAGCGAAGUGGAUCACCGAAAUAGCAGACAGAAAGGAUCACAAAAAUGAUAUUUAUUACAACACAAGAUCCCCGUCCAAACGGACAACAGAAAACGCUGGUCAAAAAGAGAACCGGGAAAUAAUUGUAACGAGGCAACAGAAAACCCUUGCGGAAAAAAACGUCAAGGAGAAAAUUUAGGCAAAAUACUAUGAUCACUCACGAGGGGAUAUCUAGGAACGUAACAAUUGUCAAUAGUCUUUAAAGCAGGGGUGCCCAAACUUUUUGGAUCGAAGAUCUACUUUUCGAUCAACUAACCUCACGGGAUCUACCCUUACCGGCGCGUGCACACACACAAAUUUAAGAUUUACUUGCUUUAUUUUAUUUUUUAAUUUUUUUUUUUGAUGAAAAUGAGACUGAUAAGAUGAUUAGUGUGCAGUGUAUAUUAACACAAAAAAUAUAUUACUAACAUGUACAAAGACACACAAAUGGUUGUUUGUUUUUUUUUCUUCUCGACACUCCUCGGAUCUACUUGGGACCUGUCUUAGAUCUACCGGUAGAUAAGGA